AGGACGAACGCUGGCGGCGUGCCUAAUACAUGCAAGUCGAGCGCGGGAAGCAAACUGAAGCCUUCGGGCGGACGUUGUGGAACGAGCGGCGGAUGGGUGAGUAACACGUGGGCAACCUGCCUGUAAGAUUGGGAUAACUUGCGGAAACGUGAGCUAAUACCAAAUAAAGCUUCAUAUCACCUGAUGUGAAGAUGAAAGAUGGCUCCGGCUAUCACUUACAGAUGGGCCCGUGGCGCAUUAGCUAGUUGGUGGGAUAAAAGCUUACCAAGGCAACGAUGCGUAGCCGACCUGAGAGGGUGAUCGGCCACACUGGGACUGAGACACGGCCCAGACUCCUACGGGAGGCAGCAGUAGGGAAUCUUCCGCAAUGGACGCAAGUCUGACGGAAGCAACGCCGCGUGAGUGAUGAAGGUUUUCGGAUCGUAAAACUCUGUUGUUAGGGAAGAACAAGUACCGUUCGAAUAGGUCGGUACCUUGACGGUACCUAACCAGAAAGCCCCGGCUAACUACGUGCCAGCCGCCGC
RNAcentral lists this ribosomal RNA (524 nucleotides) under uncultured bacterium. RNAcentral describes it as "bacterial SSU rRNA". It matches the Rfam family "Bacterial small subunit ribosomal RNA", at positions 26 to 518 of the family's 1533-position model. The record is from RNAcentral.